RNAcentral lists this ribosomal RNA (849 nucleotides) under uncultured bacterium. RNAcentral's name for it is "bacterial SSU rRNA". It matches the Rfam family "Bacterial small subunit ribosomal RNA", at positions 59 to 889 of the family's 1533-position model. The record is from RNAcentral.
CAGUCGAACGCACAGCGAAAGGUGCUUGCACCUUUCAAGUGAGUGGCGAACGCGUGAGUAACACGUGGACAACCUGCCUCAAGGCUGGGGAUAACAUUUGGAAACAGAUGCUAAUACCGAAUGAAACUUAGUGUCGCAUGACACGAAGUUAAAAGGCGCUUUGGCGUCACCUAGAGAUGGAUCCGCGGUGCAUUAGUUAGUUGGUGGGGUAAAGGCCUACCAAGACAAUGAUGCAUAGCCGAGUUGAGAGACUGAUCGGCCACAUUGGGACUGAGACACGGCCCAAACUCCUACGGGAGGCUGCAGUAGGGAAUCUUCCACAAUGGGCGAAAGCCUGAUGGAGCAACGCCGCGUGUGUGAUGAAGGCUUUCGGGUCGUAAAGCACUGUUGUAUGGGAAGAACAGCUAGAAUAGGGAAUGAUUUUAGUUUGACGGUACCAUACCAGAAAGGGACGGCUAAAUACGUGCCAGCAGCCGCGGUAAUACGUAUGUCCCGAGCGUUAUCCGGAUUUAUUGGGCGUAAAGCGAGCGCAGACGGUUGAUUAAGUCUGAUGUGAAAGCCCGGAGCUCAACUCCGGAAUGGCAUUGGAAACUGGUUAACCUGAGUGCAGUAGAGAUAAGUGGAACUCCAUGUGUAGCGGUGGAAUGCGUAGAUAUAUGGAAGAACACCAGUGGCGAAGGCGGCUUACUGGACUGUAACUGACGUUGAGGCUCGAAAGUGUGGGUAGCAAACAGGAUUAGAUACCCUGGUAGUCCACACCGUAAACGAUGAACACUAGGUGUUAGGAGGUUUCCGCCUCUUAGUGCCGAAGCUAACGCAUUAAGUGUUCCGCCUGGGGAGUACGACCGC